Molecule: ribosomal RNA, 492 nt
Filed under: uncultured bacterium
Lineage: Bacteria
Description: bacterial SSU rRNA
Rfam family: Bacterial small subunit ribosomal RNA
Source: RNAcentral
GACGAACGCUGGCGGCGUGCUUAACACAUGCAAGUCGAGCGGGGUUGAAGCGAGGGGUAACUCGAGUUUCUACCUAGCGGCGGACGGGUGAGUAACGCGUGGGCAACCUGCCUCAAGGACUGGGAUAACAGCUCGAAAGGGCUGCUAAUACCGGAUAAGCCUAUGGCCUCGCAUGGGGCCAUGAGCAAAGGGGAAACCCGCCUUGAGAUGGGCCCGCGUCCCAUCAGCUAGUUGGUGAGGUGAAGGCUCACCAAGGCGACGACGGGUAGCCGGCCUGAGAGGAUGACCGGCCACACUGGGACUGAGACACGGCCCAGACUCCUACGGGGGGCAGCAGUGGGGAAUCUUGCACAAUGGGCGAAAGCCUGAUGCAGCGACGCCGCGUGAGCGAAGAAGGCCUCGGUUGUAAAGCUCUGUCUGGAGGGACGAAGGAAGUGACGGUACCUCCGGAGGAAGCCACGGCUAACUACGUGCCAGCAGCCGCGGUAAUCA